Molecule: long non-coding RNA, 806 nt
Organism: Echinops telfairi (small Madagascar hedgehog)
Lineage: Eukaryota; Metazoa; Chordata; Mammalia; Afrosoricida; Tenrecidae
Exons: 3
Source: RefSeq, a predicted model, not a curated record
AAGGUGUGAUGGUGAAAAUAUUGAGUGUUGUGUAGAGGGCUGUGAACUUCAGUGCGUACUAUUUGGCACGGUUUGUACAGGACCCGGUGUGCGCCCAUGGGCGGCUUAUGUGCCGAUGUGGGAGGAUAAUGGAACAUUUGUCCCUUGCUUGCAGAGCACAAAGCACUUUCACAUGUCAGCCCUUGGUGGGCCAGCUUGGCCUCACUGGAAAUUUCCCCUGCCAUCAGAGUGCCGGGUGUCCUUAAAAGCUUUUAAUCCAGGGCAUGUUUCCCAAGCCCGGAGUUUGCAGCUGCUGGGGCUGGGGCUGGGGCCAGGGUUGGAGCUGCAGAUGUGAAGCUUGCUGGCUCUUGGAGCUUUAAGUGGGAAUUUUGCAAAGAAAAGCACCAGAGAGAUGCGGAGACAUGUAGGGCAGGGUGAUUGGACUUUGUUCCCCUGAGGCUGACCUGUUGUUGUUAUUAUAUAACAAGCAUACAGAGUUUAUCUUUGAACAAACUUCAUGAAGAUUUGUUUUCUUUAAUCCUUCAUCCGGGAGGGGUAAAGGGAGAUCUGCUUGGACUGGUUUUCAUUUUGAUAGAACAACUGGCUUCGGGUCUGAUGCAGAGAAGAGAGAAGAGAGGAUUGGGAUUUGCCGGAUAGGUUUUCAGACCAGUUGAAGUUGAAACCCUGAUGCUGUGGGCUUAUAAGCCCUGACUAUCUGAGAUCGUCCAAGAUGACUGAAGUGAUGAUGAGCACCCCAUCCAUGGAAGAGAUUGGACUCAGCCCCCGAAAGGAUGGCCUUUCCUACCAGGUGAGUUGAGUCUUGAGAA